This 435-nucleotide ribosomal RNA is filed under the name uncultured bacterium. Its description in RNAcentral is "partial 16S ribosomal RNA". It matches the Rfam family "Bacterial small subunit ribosomal RNA", at positions 29 to 507 of the family's 1533-position model. The record is from RNAcentral.
AGCGAACGCUGGCGGCAGGCUUAACACAUGCAAGUCGAGCGGGCACUUUCGGGUGUCAGCGGCGGACGGGUGAGUAACGCGUGGGAACGUGCCCUCUGGUUCGGAAUAACCCAGGGAAACUUGAGCUAAUACCGGAUACGCCCUUUUGGGGAAAGGCUUGCUGCCGGAGGAUCGGCCCGCGUCUGAUUAGCUAGUUGGUGAGGUAACGGCUCACCAAGGCGACGAUCCGUAGCUGGUCUGAGAGGAUGCUCAGCCACACUGGGACUGAGACACGGCCCAGACUCCUACGGGAGGCAGCAGUGGGGAAUAUUGGACAAUGGGCGCAAGCCUGAUCCAGCCAUGCCGCGUGAGUGAUGAAGGCCUUAGGGUUGUAAAGCUCUUUUAUCCGGGACGAUAAUGACGGUACCGGAGGAAUAAGCCCCGGCUAACUUCGUG